AAACUACGAUUAGAUACCCUAUUAUAACGUCGUUAAAUUAGCCUUGAGUAGUACCAGAUGUCUUUAAACUCAAAGAAUUUGGCGGCCUUCUUACCCAUUAGAGGAGCCUGCCCCGUAAUCGACGGCCCACGAUUUAAAAACCUAAUUUAAUAGUUUGUAUACCGCCGUCAAGAGUGUGUUAUAAAAUACAUUCUUAAUAUAUUUAUAUAAAAAAUCAGGUCAAGGUGCAGCUUAUGAUUAGGAGGAGGUGGGCUACAGUGGUCGUAGCCUCUCAGAUUAUAUUUUUAAAAAUUAUAUGAAGGUGGAUUUAAAUGUAAAUUUAUAAUUAUGUGAAUUGACAGGGUCAUGGAAAGUGCACACAU
This 362-nucleotide ribosomal RNA is filed under the name Centroptilum luteolum. RNAcentral describes it as "partial 12S ribosomal RNA". Lineage: Eukaryota; Metazoa; Arthropoda; Insecta; Ephemeroptera; Baetidae. The record is from RNAcentral.